RNAcentral lists this ribosomal RNA (424 nucleotides) under uncultured bacterium. RNAcentral describes it as "bacterial SSU rRNA". It matches the Rfam family "Bacterial small subunit ribosomal RNA", at positions 359 to 776 of the family's 1533-position model. The record is from RNAcentral.
GAAUUGUUCACAAUGGGCGCAAGCCUGAUGACGCAACGCCGCGUGGAGGAUGAAGGUCUUCGGAUUGUAAACUCCUGUUGCCCGGGACGAAAUGCUCCAACCUAAUACGUUGGAGUUUGACGGUACCGGGUGAGGAAGCCCCGGCUAACCCUGUGCCCGCAGCCGCGGUAAUACAGAGGGGGCGAGCGUUGUUCGGAAUUACUGGGCGUAAAGGGCGCGUAGGCGGCCUUCUAAGUCGAACGUGAAAUCCCCGGGCUCAACCCGGGAACUGCGUCCGAGACUGAAAGGCUAGAAUCCGGGAGAGGGAUGUGGAAUUCCAGGUGUAGCGGUGAAAUGCGUAGAUAUCUGGAGGAACAUCGGUGGCGAAGGCGGCAUCCUGGACCGGUAUUGACGCUGAGGCGCGAAAGCCAGGGGAGCAAACGGG